CUGCUUCCUGCCUCCAUGAGGUUUUGAAGCACCUCCAGAUUGUAUGAUUUCCAUGCCUAAGGAAACCCCAGUGCCUUUUAUCACCCGCAGUGACACACAUUCUCUCUCUGAUCUGUAGAACCAGGAUCCAUCCCACAUACUUGCUGGAUUGAUUUCUUAAGUCUCUUGGAAGCAAUUUGUUCCAGGUAUCAUGUUUGGAGUCCCUGACCCGGUGUUUCCCGGAGAUGAUAGCCUGAGGGACAAGAGUGGAGCUCUUUGGCAGUGUACUACCCUGUGCCUGUAACCUGCCUCAAGACAUGAAGUGUGGUCACCGUAUAAUUCAUUAUCCAAACUUAUCCCAAGGGGGCCACUGUGGAGAGAAGAAGAGCUUUUACAAGCAGCCAGACAACAGACAGCACCAUCAAAGGCACCAUACUCCCCAGGAUACUGUGUUCCCAAGGAGGUCAAGGCUGCCCUGAGAGCCCAGCUGUCAGCAGGAUGUCCAGGGCUGGCUGAGUAAUGCCUGGGGCAUGGAGCAAAACAAGUAGAGUUUCAGGAGGCUCCUACCCUUCAUCUUUCUUUGUUUUUUGAGCAGUCUUCUUAUGCGUGCC
RNAcentral lists this long non-coding RNA (590 nucleotides) under Cricetulus griseus (Chinese hamster). Its description in RNAcentral is "lncRNA (ENSCGRG00015038796.1)". The record is from RNAcentral. Lineage: Eukaryota; Metazoa; Chordata; Mammalia; Rodentia; Cricetidae.